This 82-nucleotide transfer RNA is filed under the name Clostridiales bacterium. RNAcentral describes it as "tRNA-Ala". Lineage: Bacteria; Bacillati; Bacillota; Clostridia; Eubacteriales. The record is from RNAcentral.
GGGGGUACGUAACCGUCAGGUUUGGGAGAGCGCAUGACUGGCAGUCAUGAGGUCAGCGGUUCGAUCCCGCUUAUCUCCACCA